UAGGAUUAGAUACCCUAUUAUUCUAUAACUUACUAACGUUGCCAGAAUACUACGAACUUUUGUUUAAAAUUCAAAGAACUUGGCGGUGUCUAAUCAAAACAGGGGAACCUGUCCUUUAAUUCGAUAAUCCACGUCAUCAUUACCAUUUCUAACAAAGCCUGUGUACUGCCGUCGCCAGUUCACCUCUAAAAGAGUGUACAACAAAUAUAUUCUAUAUUACGUCAGGUCAAAGUGCAGCUUAUGAAAUGGAAGAGAUGGGUUACAACCUCAAUAAAGACCACGAAGUAUUCACUAAAUAAGAAUAUGAAGGUGGACUUGUUAGUAAUAAGAGUACAUACUCUAAUGAACAUGAAUCUAAGACAUGCAC
This 367-nucleotide ribosomal RNA is filed under the name Phreodrilidae sp. P5. RNAcentral's name for it is "partial small subunit ribosomal RNA". Lineage: Eukaryota; Metazoa; Annelida; Clitellata; Tubificida; Phreodrilidae. The record is from RNAcentral.